This 962-nucleotide ribosomal RNA is filed under the name uncultured bacterium. RNAcentral's name for it is "bacterial SSU rRNA". It matches the Rfam family "Bacterial small subunit ribosomal RNA", at positions 8 to 1014 of the family's 1533-position model. The record is from RNAcentral.
AGAGUUUGAUCCUGGCUCAGAGCGAACGCUGGCGGCAGGCUUAACACAUGCAAGUCGAGCGGGCGUAGCAAUACGUCAGCGGCAGACGGGUGAGUAACGCGUGGGAACGUACCUUUUGGUUCGGAACAACACAGGGAAACUUGUGCUAAUACCGGAUAAGCCCUUACGGGGAAAGAUUUAUCGCCGAAAGAUCGGCCCGCGUCUGAUUAGCUAGUUGGUGAGGUAACGGCUCACCAAGGCGACGAUCAGUAGCUGGUCUGAGAGGAUGAUCAGCCACAUUGGGACUGAGACACGGCCCAAACUCCUACGGGAGGCAGCAGUGGGGAAUAUUGGACAAUGGGCGCAAGCCUGAUCCAGCCAUGCCGCGUGAGUGAUGAAGGCCCUAGGGUUGUAAAGCUCUUUUGUGCGGGAAGAUAAUGACGGUACCGCAAGAAUAAGCCCCGGCUAACUUCGUGCCAGCAGCCGCGGUAAUACGAAGGGGGCUAGCGUUGCUCGGAAUCACUGGGCGUAAAGGGUGCGUAGGCGGGUCUUUAAGUCAGGGGUGAAAUCCUGGAGCUCAACUCCAGAACUGCCUUUGAUACUGAGGAUCUUGAGUUCGGGAGAGGUGAGUGGAACUGCGAGUGUAGAGGUGAAAUUCGUAGAUAUUCGCAAGAACACCAGUGGCGAAGGCGGCUCACUGGCCCGAUACUGACGCUGAGGCACGAAAGCGUGGGGAGCAAACAGGAUUAGAUACCCUGGUAGUCCACGCCGUAAACGAUGAAUGCCAGCCGUUAGUGGGUUUACUCACUAGUGGCGCAGCUAACGCUUUAAGCAUUCCGCCUGGGGAGUACGGUCGCAAGAUUAAAACUCAAGGAAUUGACGGGGGCCCGCACAAGCGGUGGAGCAUGUGGGUUAAUUCGACGCAACGCGCAGAACCUUACCAGCCCUUGACAUGUCUGGGACCGGUCGCAGAGACGCGACUU